This 627-nucleotide ribosomal RNA is filed under the name Lactobacillus gasseri. RNAcentral's name for it is "bacterial SSU rRNA". It matches the Rfam family "Bacterial small subunit ribosomal RNA", at positions 385 to 1003 of the family's 1533-position model. The record is from RNAcentral. Lineage: Bacteria; Bacillati; Bacillota; Bacilli; Lactobacillales; Lactobacillaceae.
GAUGGAGCAACGCCGCGUGAGUGAAGAAGGGAUUCGGCUCGUAAAGCUCUGUUGGUAGUGAAGAAAGAUAGAGGUAGUAACUGGCCUUUAUUUGACGGUAAUUACUUAGAAAGUCACGGCUAACUACGUGCCAGCAGCCGCGGUAAUACGUAGGUGGCAAGCGUUGUCCGGAUUUAUUGGGCGUAAAGCGAGUGCAGGCGGUUCAAUAAGUCUGAUGUGAAAGCCUUCGGCUCAACCGGAGAAUUGCAUCAGAAACUGUUGAACUUGAGUGCAGAAGAGGAGAGUGGAACUCCAUGUGUAGCGGUGGAAUGCGUAGAUAUAUGGAAGAACACCAGUGGCGAAGGCGGCUCUCUGGUCUGCAACUGACGCUGAGGCUCGAAAGCAUGGGUAGCGAACAGGAUUAGAUACCCUGGUAGUCCAUGCCGUAAACGAUGAGUGCUAAGUGUUGGGAGGUUUCCGCCUCUCAGUGCUGCAGCUAACGCAUUAAGCACUCCGCCUGGGGAGUACGACCGCAAGGUUGAAACUCAAAGGAAUUGACGGGGGCCCGCACAAGCGGUGGAGCAUGUGGUUUAAUUCGAAGCAACGCGAAGAACCUUACCAGGUCUUGACAUCCAGUGCAAACCUAAG